UUUUGGACAAUGGGCGAAAGCCUGAUCCAGCAAUGCCGCGUGCAGGAAGAAGGCCUUCGGGUUGUAAACUGCUUUUGUACCGAACGAAACGGUCUGCCCCAAUACGGCGGGCUAAUGACGGUACCGUAAGAAUAAGCACCGGCUAACUACGUGCCAGCGGCCGCGGUAAUACGUAGGGUGCGAGCGUUAAUCGGAAUUACUGGGCGUAAAGCGUGCGCAGGCGGUUAUGUAAGACAGUUGUGAAAUCCCCGGGCUCAACCUGGGAAUUGCAUCUGUGACUGCAUAGCUAGAGUACGGUAGAGGGGGAUGGAAUUCCGCGUGUAGCAGUGAAAUGCGUAGAUAUGCGGAGGAACACCGAUGGCGAAGGCAAUCCCCUGGACCUGUACUGACGCUCAUGCACGAAA
RNAcentral lists this ribosomal RNA (404 nucleotides) under uncultured bacterium. RNAcentral describes it as "bacterial SSU rRNA". It matches the Rfam family "Bacterial small subunit ribosomal RNA", at positions 362 to 758 of the family's 1533-position model. The record is from RNAcentral.